This 223-nucleotide unclassified non-coding RNA is filed under the name Hevea brasiliensis (rubber tree). The record is from RNAcentral. Lineage: Eukaryota; Viridiplantae; Streptophyta; Magnoliopsida; Malpighiales; Euphorbiaceae.
UUAAUGAUGAUUAUAAGGUGGUUAAGAUCUUUAGUUUUCCGCGAAAUGAGGGGAGAUAUGAGAAUAAGGUGAAGGUUUAUAGCUUGAAGUAUGAUUCUUGGAAAAUGGGUGAGGCGUUUGAUAGUGGUUAUGUUAAUGCACAAUCCGGGAUGUGUUUGAAUGGAUAUCUUCAUUGGGAGGUAAGCCAUUGUCGCGACUCUGGUGAUGGUGAUGGUGGUGGUGG